GUCUGUACCCAAAGUUAUCUUAGCCAACCAGCAAUGGAGGCGGAUACCUAAGGUAUGGGGGAUGAUUGGCUGAAGUCGUAACAAGGUAGCUGUAGGUGAACCUGCAGAAGGAUCA
RNAcentral lists this ribosomal RNA (115 nucleotides) under uncultured eukaryote. RNAcentral describes it as "partial small subunit ribosomal RNA". It matches the Rfam family "Bacterial small subunit ribosomal RNA", at positions 1413 to 1525 of the family's 1533-position model. The record is from RNAcentral.